RNAcentral lists this long non-coding RNA (775 nucleotides) under Pan troglodytes (chimpanzee). Its description in RNAcentral is "lincRNA". The record is from RNAcentral. Lineage: Eukaryota; Metazoa; Chordata; Mammalia; Primates; Hominidae.
GAAGCCUAGGGGAGCCAGUAAAGAUUAAAUGUGCUUCUCAAAGGCAGCCACUUCAUGCUGCUAUGUCGAAAGGGCCAUUAUUAUUAUUAUAUUUUAAUAGUAAAAGAGAAAAGGAGAGAGGUUGAGCGAGCGAGAGAGAAGCUAGGUGUGAUGAUGACAGACUAGCUUUUCUGAGAGGAAAAGGAAAAGGGAAGGGAGAGAAAAAGGAGAGCCUCUGAGCUCAACGGAGGAUUGUGCCUGAGAAGAACCCACAGAGAUGUGACUGGAGUGAUUUGCACCUGGAUGCCUAGACUCGCCAUCUGCUGAAAGACUGCUCAGAAAGCCCUCCCAUGCAUUCCCCUGCUGCAUACCAGCCCACUCUGCCUGCAGCUGCUGUCUGCAGGACUUCAUAUCUAUGCCACACUGUGUAAAAGCUGUGCUUCAAGAAAUCACAAAAACGUUUUCCUGCACCUACUACACAGCCUGAGUGCGGCAUAAGUUGACCUUGCUUGCUAAGAAAUGGGGCAAGAAAUGCUUUUUUGUGUGUGUCAUGUCUGUUUGUUUUUCAAUUAAGAGAGGAAAGCAUUAGGCAGAUGGAAUGUACAUGUGAGGAUGAGGAGACAGAAAACAAGUAGCCCUUUCCAUCAAGAUAGAGGGUUUUCUGGGGUUGCUGGCUGUUGAAUGUCACUCCUGAUUUCUCUUUCCAAGGCACUGUACCACCAGCCUACUGAGAUUGUGUGGGAGCUUUCAUGGGGGUUGUAUUUCACUGAUGAAAAUAAAUUUUGUGCAUAAUGUG